RNAcentral lists this ribosomal RNA (465 nucleotides) under Vreelandella stevensii. Its description in RNAcentral is "partial 16S ribosomal RNA". It matches the Rfam family "Bacterial small subunit ribosomal RNA", at positions 338 to 795 of the family's 1533-position model. The record is from RNAcentral. Lineage: Bacteria; Pseudomonadati; Pseudomonadota; Gammaproteobacteria; Oceanospirillales; Halomonadaceae.
CCUACGGGAGGCUGCAGUGGGGAAUAUUGGACAAUGGGGGCAACCCUGAUCCAGCCAUGCCGCGUGUGUGAAGAAGGCCCUCGGGUUGUAAAGCACUUUCAGUGAGGAAGAACGCCUGGUGGUUAAUACCCAUCAGGAAAGACAUCACUCACAGAAGAAGCACCGGCUAACUCCGUGCCAGCAGCCGCGGUAAUACGGAGGGUGCGAGCGUUAAUCGGAAUUACUGGGCGUAAAGCGCGCGUAGGUGGCUUGAUAAGCCGGUUGUGAAAGCCCCGGGCUCAACCUGGGAACGGCAUCCGGAACUGUCAAGCUAGAGUGCAGGAGAGGAAGGUAGAAUUCCCGGUGUAGCGGUGAAAUGCGUAGAGAUCGGGAGGAAUACCAGUGGCGAAGGCGGCCUUCUGGACUGACACUGACACUGAGGUGCGAAAGCGUGGGUAGCAAACAGGAUUAGAUAUCCCGGUAGUC